Xenopus laevis (African clawed frog) is the source of this 425-nucleotide long non-coding RNA. RefSeq lists it as uncharacterized. Lineage: Eukaryota; Metazoa; Chordata; Amphibia; Anura; Pipidae. The transcript is spliced from 2 exons. The record is from RefSeq and is a predicted model, not a curated record.
CAAAAGAUUGCUUUUGUUUUCAGUGAAAGAGAAUGCAUGGUGAAAGUCUACCUCAGAUUCAAAAAAAAGUAUGCUGCUGGUGAAAUUUCAAUGCAAAACUGUUACCAGAUGAAAAGCUACUAUGUCAUUCAGCUCAAGGCGAAGAAGAAAGAAACAGCAAUAACAGCAAAACUAGAUAAUUAAGAGCUUCAGUUUCGUGAUUCCACUAGAUGAGGAAAAGUUCUAAUAUACACUCUCCCUAGACUUGUUUAGUAACUGCAUUCUCAGAAAAGCUUGUAUUUCUGUAGAAGUGCACAUAAUGUAAUUAUAUGGGGUAGAUUUAUAAAGAUGUAUAUUUAUUUUUAUGCCAAAGUGUAGAAUUUGGCCUCAAAUGUAUCCAAAACUGAUAAAGCUGUGGCAAUUAAUGAUUCAACUACCUUAGACCU